GAAACUUCUUGAAGAGAAUUUAACCUGCUUGAUUUGGAAAUAUGCCAACAGAGGUCAAGCCGGUGCUGAGGGAAGUUCUUCCCAAACAAGCUCUCUAUGGAGGAUGUGCCCACUAUGGUGCUUUGUAAACCCAAGCUGCUCCCUCUUAAAUCAGUGACCCUGGAAAAGCUGGAGAA
This is a long non-coding RNA of Polyodon spathula (Mississippi paddlefish), 176 nucleotides long. RefSeq lists it as uncharacterized. The transcript has 3 exons. The record is from RefSeq and is a predicted model, not a curated record. Lineage: Eukaryota; Metazoa; Chordata; Actinopteri; Acipenseriformes; Polyodontidae.